RNAcentral lists this transfer RNA (101 nucleotides) under Phialocephala subalpina. It matches the Rfam family "tRNA". Rfam says of the family: Transfer RNA (tRNA) molecules are approximately 80 nucleotides in length. Their secondary structure includes four short double-helical elements and three loops (D, anti-codon, and T loops). Lineage: Eukaryota; Fungi; Ascomycota; Leotiomycetes; Helotiales; Mollisiaceae. The record is from Rfam by way of RNAcentral.
GGCACUUUGGCGGAGUGGUUAACGCGAUGGCCUGCUAUGAGUUUACUCAAGCUGUUCAGCCAUUUCCUUCGGGAGCGUGUGUUCGAAUCACACAGGUGUCG